UCUCUGGUGGCUCAGACAGUAAAGAAUCUGCCUGCAAUGCAGGAGACCCAGGUUCAAUCCCUGGUUUGGGAA
This 72-nucleotide transfer RNA is filed under the name Bos taurus (domestic cattle). It matches the Rfam family "tRNA". From Rfam's summary of the family: Transfer RNA (tRNA) molecules are approximately 80 nucleotides in length. Their secondary structure includes four short double-helical elements and three loops (D, anti-codon, and T loops). The record is from Rfam by way of RNAcentral. Lineage: Eukaryota; Metazoa; Chordata; Mammalia; Artiodactyla; Bovidae. RNAcentral also lists the same sequence under 3 other names.